Molecule: long non-coding RNA, 619 nt
Filed under: Anser brachyrhynchus (Pink-footed goose)
Lineage: Eukaryota; Metazoa; Chordata; Aves; Anseriformes; Anatidae
Description: lncRNA (ENSABRG00000005844.1)
Source: RNAcentral
UUUAAUACCAUGUUGUUAGUUGUCACACCUGGUUACCGUGGUUUACAUCAGCUACGUCGUGUGAUGUCUCAUGGAAAUUGGCAGCGGCUGGGGAAAUGUUAAAUAAGUGCAGGCAAACCCUGCACUGGCCAUUUUUUUCAGUCUCUGGGGCUGGAGGUUCCCGAGCAGGGGAGUGUCUGGGGGCUCGCCUGGGGCAGGCACUGCCAGCAUGGGCUGGGCUCUUCCCGUGGUGGCUGGGGACCGGUGCAUGGUGCCUGGUGGCCAGCAGUGUCCAGAGCUCGGGCCCGGAGUAGGAAGAGUCCUGCUGUACCGCCAGCAUCAGCAGGAAGCGAGCUGGUUUGUUCCUGUACCGCAGCAGUCUGGUUUGGGCAAUGUGUUUCCCCCCGUGGUGCAGUGGCUGCAGAACCGCGCUGACAUCUCCGUCCUGCUCUCCAUGUCCUCGCGCAGCUCAACAGCUCGUGCUCUCGCCCUCGCUGCAAAAGGCUGCUUCGUCUUCUGUCUCCUCCCGAGGAGCAGGCACCGUGUCCAGCUGGCCAGUCCUCUGGAGCAGAGGUGCCCUCCUUACCACGGCAUACAACAGACGUGUCAGAAAGCCACAGCACUGCGUCUGCAGCUCUAA